GAGGGUAGAGCUCAGUGGUAGAGCUCAUGCUUAGCAUGCAGGAGGUCCUGGGUUCAAUUACCAGUACCUCCA
This 72-nucleotide transfer RNA is filed under the name Camelus bactrianus (Bactrian camel). It matches the Rfam family "tRNA". From Rfam's summary of the family: Transfer RNA (tRNA) molecules are approximately 80 nucleotides in length. Their secondary structure includes four short double-helical elements and three loops (D, anti-codon, and T loops). RNAcentral also lists the same sequence under 1 other name. The record is from Rfam by way of RNAcentral. Lineage: Eukaryota; Metazoa; Chordata; Mammalia; Artiodactyla; Camelidae.